Molecule: non-coding RNA, 103 nt
Organism: Paramuricea clavata
Lineage: Eukaryota; Metazoa; Cnidaria; Anthozoa; Malacalcyonacea; Plexauridae
Source: the annotation of a GenBank genome assembly
AAUUCUAUUUCAGAACCAUCCUCAGAGAUAGGAAAACUAGUUUCAUAUUAGAUUAAUAUGAAACUAGUUUUCCUAUCUCUGAGGAUGGUUCUGAAAUAGAAUU